This 314-nucleotide ribosomal RNA is filed under the name uncultured eukaryote. RNAcentral's name for it is "partial large subunit ribosomal RNA". It matches the Rfam family "Eukaryotic large subunit ribosomal RNA", at positions 40 to 350 of the family's 3401-position model. The record is from RNAcentral.
AUAUCAAUAAGCGGAGGAAAAGAAACCAACAGGGAUUGCCCCAGUAACGGCGAGUGAAGAGGCAAAAGCUCAGAUUUGAAAUCUGGCCCUUACGGGGUCCGAAUUGUAGUCUGUAGAGGAAGCUUCGGCGGGGUCUCCGCUCUAAGUCCCUUGGGACAGGGCGCCGCAGCGGGUGAGAGCCCCGUGCUCGGGUGGAUGCACCCCGCCAUGUGAAGCCCCUUCGAAGAGUCGAGUUGUUUGAGAAUGCAGCUCUAAAUGGGUGGUAAAUUCCAUCUAAGGCUAAAUACCUGCUAGAGACCGAUAGCGCACAAGUA